This 680-nucleotide ribosomal RNA is filed under the name Derxomyces pseudocylindricus. RNAcentral's name for it is "eukaryotic LSU rRNA". It matches the Rfam family "Eukaryotic large subunit ribosomal RNA", at positions 1 to 667 of the family's 3401-position model. The record is from RNAcentral. Lineage: Eukaryota; Fungi; Basidiomycota; Tremellomycetes; Tremellales; Bulleribasidiaceae.
UGACCUCAAAUCAGGUAGGACUACCCGCUGAACUUAAGCAUAUCAAUAAGCGGAGGAAAAGAAACUAACCAGGAUUCCCUUAGUAGCGGCGAGCGAAGCGGGAUGAGCUCAAAUUUGAAAUCUGGCGUCUUUCAGGCGUCCGAGUUGUAAUCUAUAGAAGCGUUUUCUAUGCUGGACCGUGUCCAAGUCCCUUGGAACAGGGUAUCAAAGAGGGUGACAAUCCCGUACUUGACACGACGACCAGUGUUCUGUGAUACGUUCUCUACGAGUCGAGUUGUUUGGGAAUGCAGCUCAAAAUGGGUGGUAAAUUCCAUCUAAAGCUAAAUAUUGGCGAGAGACCGAUAGCGAACAAGUACCGUGAGGGAAAGAUGAAAAGCACUUUGGAAAGAGAGUUAAACAGUACGUGAAAUUGUUGAAAGGGAAACGAUUGAAGUCAGUCGUGUCUAUUGGUUUCAGCCGGUCCUGCCGGUGUAUUACCUUUAGACGGGUCAACAUCAGUUUUGGACGGCACAUAAAAGCGGUUUGAAUGUAGCACCUCCGGGUGUGUUAUAGCUUUCUGUUACAUAUGUUGUCCGAGACUGAGGACUGCAGCUCGCCUUUUAUUAGGCCGGGGUUCGCCCACGUUCGAGCUUAGGAUGUUGACAUAAUGGCUUUAAACGACCCGUCUUGAAACACGGACC